This 228-nucleotide unclassified non-coding RNA is filed under the name Ascomycota sp. Its description in RNAcentral is "partial contains small subunit ribosomal RNA, internal transcribed spacer 1, and 5.8S ribosomal RNA". The stretch from base 1 to 47 matches the Rfam family "Eukaryotic small subunit ribosomal RNA", at positions 1785 to 1831 of the family's 1831-position model. The record is from RNAcentral. Lineage: Eukaryota; Fungi; Ascomycota.
AAAGUCGUAACAAGGUCUCCGUUGGUGAACCAGCGGAGGGAUCAUUACAGAGUUGUAAAACUCCCAACCCUUUGUGAACGAACCUGACAGUUGCUUCGGCGGGAGGCCCUUUAGGGCCUCGCUCCCCGUGGGCACCCCGCCGGAGUCCUACAAACUCUUGAUUAUUUUGGCAUCUCUGAGUAGCUUACAAAUAAGUUAAAACUUUCAACAACGGAUCUCUUGGUUCUG